This is a regulatory RNA element of Catellicoccus marimammalium M35/04/3, 128 nucleotides long. It matches the Rfam family "Ribosomal protein L10 leader". From Rfam's summary of the family: This family is a putative r-protein leader autoregulatory structure found in B. subtilis and other low-GC Gram-positive bacteria. It is located in the 5' untranslated regions of mRNAs encoding ribosomal proteins L10 and L12 (rplJ-rplL). A Rho-independent transcription terminator structure that is probably involved in regulation is included at the 3' end. NCBI's taxonomy places the organism in Bacteria, Bacillati, Bacillota, Bacilli, Lactobacillales, Enterococcaceae. The record is from Rfam.
UAAUAAAGGUUAUAAGUGCCGAAGACAGUAGGUGUGAGCAAUCACUUAAUUUCCUACCCGAGGACAAUGAUUUAAAAUCAUAACGUCUCUCUAUGUCUGCGGUGACAUGGAGUUUUUUUAUUUCAUGU